RNAcentral lists this ribosomal RNA (497 nucleotides) under uncultured bacterium. RNAcentral describes it as "partial 16S ribosomal RNA". It matches the Rfam family "Bacterial small subunit ribosomal RNA", at positions 28 to 507 of the family's 1533-position model. The record is from RNAcentral.
GAUGAACGCUGGCGGCGUGCCUAAUACAUGCAAGUCGAGCGAACGGACGAGAAGCUUGCUUCUCUGAUGUUAGCGGCGGACGGGUGAGUAACACGUGGAUAACCUACCUAUAAGACUGGGAUAACUUCGGGAAACCGGAGCUAAUACCGGAUGAUAUUUUGAACCGCAUGGUUCAAAAGUGAAAGACGGUCUUGCUGUCACUUAUAGAUGGAUCCGCGCUGCAUUAGCUAGUUGGUAAGGUAACGGCUUACCAAGGCAACGAUGCAUAGCCGACCUGAGAGGGUGAUCGGCCAAACUGGAACUGAGACACGGUCCAGACUCCUACGGGAGGCAGAAGUAGGGAAUCUUCAGCAAUGGGCGAAAGCCUGACGGAGCAACGACGCGUGAGUGAUGAAGGUCUUCGGAUCGUAAAACUCUGUUAUGAGGGAAGAACAUAUGUGUAAGUAACUGUGCACAUCUUGACGGUAACUAAUCAGAAAGCCACGGCUAACCACGUG